AGCCCCGCUCAGAAACUCAAAGGAAUUGACGGGGGCCCGGCACAAGCGGAGGAACAUGUGGUUUAAUUCGAUGAUACGCGAGGAACCUUACCUGGGCUUAAAUGGGGAGUGACAGCUGUCGAAAGAUGGUUUUCUUCGGACACUCUUCAAGGUGCUGCAUGGUUGUCGUCAGCUCGUGCCGUGAGGUGUCGGGUUAAGUCCCAUAACGAGCGCAACCCUUACCGUUAGUUACCAUCAGGUUAAGCUGGGGACUCUAGCGGGACUGCCACCGUAAGGUGAGAGGAAGGUGGGGAUGACGUCAAAUCAGCACGGCCCUUAUGUCCAGGGCUACACACGUGUUACAAUGGCCGGUACAAAGGGCAGCUACUUCGCGAGAAGAUGCUAAUCUCGAAAGCCGGUCUCAGUUCGGAUCGAAGUCUGCAACCCGACUUCGUGAAGCUGGAUUCGCUAGUAAUCGCGCAUCAGCCAUGGCGCGGUGAAUACGUUCCCGGGCCUU
This 496-nucleotide ribosomal RNA is filed under the name uncultured Sphingobacteriales bacterium. Its description in RNAcentral is "bacterial SSU rRNA". It matches the Rfam family "Bacterial small subunit ribosomal RNA", at positions 885 to 1382 of the family's 1533-position model. Lineage: Bacteria; Pseudomonadati; Bacteroidota; Sphingobacteriia; Sphingobacteriales. The record is from RNAcentral.